This is a long non-coding RNA of Lontra canadensis (Northern American river otter), 296 nucleotides long. RefSeq lists it as uncharacterized. The transcript is spliced from 3 exons. The record is from RefSeq and is a predicted model, not a curated record. NCBI's taxonomy places the organism in Eukaryota, Metazoa, Chordata, Mammalia, Carnivora, Mustelidae.
GGAGAAAACACCUGGGAUCUCUACAGGUGGGCAAGUCGCAUACACUUCCAUAGGACUGAAGUGUUCAGCCUGUAUUCAAAUGGGAGGGUGCCAAGGCUUGGGGAAUGCCGACGGGAGACACCGUGUGGGGCCUUCUGAGGAAGUGAGAAGUGAGCCUCCUGGCUGUGGGAGAAGAAUUGUAACCAUCCACCACCCUUUGUCAGAUGUCCAAAGGCACAGGAAACCUGCUCCUCCCAGCUGGGCUGUGUUGAAGGAUUUGGUGCUCUUUCUCUCAUCCAGACUCCCCUGGUCUCCCA